Molecule: long non-coding RNA, 809 nt
Filed under: Neodiprion lecontei (redheaded pine sawfly)
Lineage: Eukaryota; Metazoa; Arthropoda; Insecta; Hymenoptera; Diprionidae
Description: uncharacterized LOC124293149
Source: RNAcentral
GAAACUCGAUUUCCAGGAUAAGCGCUCCGUAGUUUCUGCGCUCCAGGUCCACUACCUAGUGAAACUCGACUUCAGGGACAACCGCUCCGUAGUUUCUUCACUCCAGGUCCACUAGCUAGUGAAACUCGACUUCAGGGACAAGCGCUUCGUAGUUUCUGCACUCCAGGUCCACUAUCUGGUGAAACUCUGGACGGAAGGAGGAGGACGAGGAAGACGAGGAGAACAAGGUGGGCAAGGAGGAAGAGGAUUUGUGCACGUAUUCGGAGUAUAACCCGAGGUGGUCAGCGGUGGUCGUUGGAGGUGGUCAGAGGUGGUAAAGGGUGGUUGCGGGUGUUCGAGGUGGAUGAGGAGGAGGAAGACGAGGACGACGAGGAGAACGAGGAUUUCUGCACAGUAUAACUCGAGGUGGUUAUCGGUGGUUGUUGGAGGGGGUUGGCGGUGGUUGGAGAUGGUCGGAGGUGGAUGAGGAGGAGGACGGGGAAGACGAGGAGAACAAGGUGGACGAGGAUGUGUGCACUAUGAGUAUAACAUACUAAAAUAUUGAAUCGACUAGGAGUAGGAAUAGGAGUAGGAUCAGGAGUAGAAGUAGGAAGAGGAGUAGGAUCCGGAGUAUAAGUAGGAAUAGGAGUAGGAUCAGGAGUGGAAGUAGGAAUAGGAGUAGGAUCAGGAGUAGGUUCAGGAUUACGAGUAGGAAUAAGAGUGGGAUCAGGAGUAGGAGUAGGAAUAGGAGUAGAUUCAGGAGUAGGAGUAGGAUCAGGAGUGGAAGUAGGAGUAGGAGUAGGAGUAGGAGUAGGAGUAGGAGUAGGAGU